RNAcentral lists this ribosomal RNA (390 nucleotides) under uncultured bacterium. RNAcentral describes it as "bacterial SSU rRNA". It matches the Rfam family "Bacterial small subunit ribosomal RNA", at positions 129 to 518 of the family's 1533-position model. The record is from RNAcentral.
CCCCUUAGUAGGGCAUAGCCCGUAGAAAUGCGGAUUAAUACCCUAUGUUUUUCCGGAGACGGCAUCAGAACUGGAACAAAGAUUGAUCGCUAAGGGAUGGGGAUGCGUACGAUUAGGUUGUUGGCGGGUAACGGCCCACCAAGCCUGCGAUCGUUAGGGGUCUGAGAGGAAGGUCCCCCACACUGGUACUGAGACACGGACCAGACUCCUACGGGAGGCAGCAGUGAGGAAUAUUGGUCAAUGGGCGUGAGCCUGAACCAGCCAAGUAGCGUGCAGGACGACGGCCCUACGGGUUGUAAACUGCUUUUAUCAGGGGAUAAAGUGCGGGACGUGUCCCUCAUUGCAGGUACAUGAUGAAUAAGGACCGGCUAAUUCCGUGCCAGCCGCCGC